GACGAACGCUGGCGGCGUGCUUAACACAUGCAAGUCGAACGGAAAGGCCCUGCUUUUGUGGGGUGCUCGAGUGGCGAACGGGUGAGUAACACGUGAGUAACCUGCCCUUGACUUUGGGAUAACUUCAGGAAACUGGGGCUAAUACCGGAUAGGAGCUCCUGCUGCAUGGUGGGGGUUGGAAAGUUUCGGCGGUUGGGGAUGGACUCGCGGCUUAUCAGCUUGUUGGUGGGGUAGUGGCUUACCAAGGCUUUGACGGGUAGCCGGCCUGAGAGGGUGACCGGCCACAUUGGGACUGAGAUACGGCACAGACUCCUCCGGGAGGCAGCAGUGGGGAAUAUUGCACAAUGGGCGGAAGCCUGAUGCAGCAACGCCGCGUGCGGGAUGACGGCCUUCGGGUUGUAAACCGCUUUCGCCUGUGACGAAGCGUGAGUGACGGUAAUGGGUAAAGAAGCCCCGGCUAACUACGUG
RNAcentral lists this ribosomal RNA (468 nucleotides) under uncultured bacterium. Its description in RNAcentral is "partial 16S ribosomal RNA". It matches the Rfam family "Bacterial small subunit ribosomal RNA", at positions 28 to 507 of the family's 1533-position model. The record is from RNAcentral.